AUCCUUCAGUUCAUGAGCGUGAUGAUUGGGUAUUCAUGUCUUAUAAUGCAUGAGCUGUGCCUCCCUCAAACCAUGUUACAACGUAGGCACAUUACUCAUCUGACG
Octodon degus (degu) is the source of this 105-nucleotide small nucleolar RNA. RefSeq annotates it as small nucleolar RNA U13. The transcript has a single exon. Lineage: Eukaryota; Metazoa; Chordata; Mammalia; Rodentia; Octodontidae. The record is from RefSeq and is a predicted model, not a curated record.